CUAUACAGCUUCGGCCACCACCGCUUCCCGUCCCCCUCUGCCUGCACACGCCGAACAGGGGCCCACAUGGAUCUCGAGGCGGCGGCUCCUCCCCGGCCCCGCGGCGGCUCCCCGGCGACCGCCCCACCACCGCCGGCCGACAGAGAGACCGACAAGCUGACUACCUGGGAAUAUACAGCAUAAUGUUUUGGACUCUUACUUUAAUUGGUGUGGUCAAGUAUGUAGGCAUAGCUCUCAAUGCUGAUGACCAUGGUGAAGGUGGUACAUUUGCAAUGUAUUCGUUGUUGUGUAGGCAUGCCGAUAUAGGCAUCCUUCCUUCCAAGAGAGGGUAUUCAGAAGAAGAACCAUUGCUUCGUGAGCAGUCAGCAACAGCUAUAAGGCCUAGUAAGCUGGGCAAGUUCUUUGAGCAAAGCUUAACUGUAAGAAGGGUAUUGUUAUUCAUGGCAAUUCUUGGGAUGUGCAUGCUCAUUGGAGAUGGAAUCCUAACUCCUGCUAUUUCAGUGUUAUCAGCAAUUGAUGGACUGAGAGGACCAUUUCCUUCUGUUAGUAAACCUGUUGUGGAAGCUCUAUCUGCAGCAAUUCUUAUUGGUGUAUUCUUGCUGCAAAAGUAUGGGACUUCAAAAGUGAGCUUUCUGUUUUCUCCAAUCAUGGCAGCAUGGACUUUCACCACUCCAAUCGUUGGAAUAUACAGCAUUGUUCUUUACUACCCAGGCAUCUUCAAAGCCAUUUCGCCACAUUAUAUUGUUCAUUUCUUCCUAAGAAAUAAAAAACAAGGGUGGCAGCUGCUUGGUGGGACUGUUCUAUGUAUCACAGGUGCAGAAGCUAUGUUUGCAGAUCUUGGCCACUUCAGCAAAAAAGCUAUUCAGAUAGCAUUUCUAUCCAGCAUAUAUCCUUCUCUGGUCCUCACUUAUGCCGGGCAAACAGCAUACCUUAUUAACAACGUCAAUGACUUCAGUGAUGGAUUCUACAAAUUUAUCCCUCGGCCAGUUUACUGGCCGAUGUUUGUCAUUGCAACACUAGCAGCAAUUGUUGCAAGCCAGUCCUUAAUAUCGGCAACAUUUUCUGUCAUCAAGCAAUCAGUUGUCCUGGACUACUUUCCACGUGUUAAAGUGGUGCACACAUCACAUCAAAAGGAAGGGGAGGUUUACUCACCAGAAAUUAAUUACAUUCUGAUGGUACUAUGUGUUGGUGUUAUACUAGGCUUUGGAGGUGGAAAGGAGAUAGGGAAUGCUUUUGGUGUUGUUGUCAUCAUGGUCAUGCUCAUAACUACAAUCAUGCUCACUCUCGUGAUGAUCAUCAUAUGGAGAACACCACCUGUUUUUGUCGGCAUGUUUUUCAUUCCAUUCGUCAUUAUGGAAGGGUCCUAUGUCAGUGCCGUUUUCACCAAGAUCCCUGAAGGUGGUUGGCUUCCUUUUGCAGUUUCCAUGAUCCUUGCAUUGAUCAUGUUCGUCUGGUACUAUGGUAGGCAAAGGAAAAUAGAGUACGAAAUGGCGAACAAGAUAACCAUAGAGCACCUUGGUGAGCUCUUGGCAAUGCCUGAGGUCCAGAGGGUCCCGGGCUUGUGCUUCUUCUACAGCAACAUACAGGACGGGCUAACUCCUAUACUUGGCCAUUACAUCAAGAACAUGAGCUCACUGCAUACAGUCACAAUUUUUGUGACCCUGAGGUACCUGCUGGUUUCCAAAGUUGAUCAACGGGAAAGGGUCCUGAUCAAGAGGCUCGGACCUAGGGGGGUGUACCAGUGCACCGUCCAGUAUGGCUACGCUGACAACCUGAGCCUCAAAGGAGGCGAUGAUCUUGUCGCACAGGUUAUGAGAUGCCUGAAGCGGCACAUUGCGAUGAGCACCGACCGGCGUUCAUCUGUCUCUACGGAGGAAGAGAUCGCCAACCUGGAGGCGGCGAGUUUGGCCGGGGUGGUGCAUGUCCGGGGCAAGAUGAGGUUCUAUGUGGGUGACGAUGCCGGCUGUUUUGACAAGGUCAUGCUCCGAUUCUAUGAAUUCUUGCAUAGCAUCUGCAGAUCGGCACUGCCAGCUCUCGGGAUGCCUCUGCAGCAGCGAGUUGAGAUCGGCAUGUUGUACAAGGUUUGAGGCGCUGCAUCAACUGUUUUUUGUAUGAAUCUCAUGAAAAUGGUCACUCUCCAUACUAUACCGUCAUGUCGGAAAUGUCAUUUGUGUUGGCCACGCCAUAUUUUUUGCAAGCAAUGACACGGUUGGUGCACAUCUUUUGUGAAGAAUUUUGAACUGACAUUUAGAAGACAAGUGGGCCUGAACUAUUGGAUUAUCUGGCAUCUCAAUUCCUGGUAUAUAAGACAUAAGAGUGAUGGCACGAAAGUUGGGCCAACAAAGCGGGAGAAGGGUACCGUGAAGUCAGCGAAAAAUGCCACCAUGUCUCCUGUAAGAAAUUCUGGGAAGGUUUGACCAGUUCAGUAGGAAACCUGUCAAGAACUCAAGAUUUAUUAUGUUUCAUUUGGGAUCUUAUUUUUGUUAGCCAAACUUGAGGCGUAUCAUCUUAUUAUGAAAAAAAUGGAAGAGAACAACUUCCCCAGUAUCUGAUCUCUGGAUUCAAAGAUGAACCAAUUAUUACAUUGUCGCAAUCUCUCCCUAAUAAUAAAGCACGGAUUGGGUCUCCGGAUUCACCGUCACAGUGCGCUUCUUUCCGUGAUUUUACGCUUUCAAUUUUAAUUUUAAAAUAUAUUCAAGGUGGUACUAAUUCAGAUGGCC
RNAcentral lists this ribosomal RNA (2720 nucleotides) under Triticum aestivum (bread wheat). Its description in RNAcentral is "partial small subunit ribosomal RNA". Lineage: Eukaryota; Viridiplantae; Streptophyta; Magnoliopsida; Poales; Poaceae. The record is from RNAcentral.